This is a non-coding RNA of Oryza glumipatula, 181 nucleotides long. The record is from Rfam. Lineage: Eukaryota; Viridiplantae; Streptophyta; Magnoliopsida; Poales; Poaceae.
UACUACUCAAUUUAUAGAUUUACGUGUCCAACGUUUAACUGUUCGUCUUAUAUAAAUUAUUUUUAUAAUUAGGAUUUUCAUUGUUGUUAGAUGAUAAAACAUAAAUAAUAUUUUAUGUGUGACUUAUCUUAUAAAUUUUUUUAAAUAAGACGGACGGUCAAACGUUGGAUAUGGACGGUCA